UGAGUAAAAAUGCCGCGGGCUUUAUUGUGCUAUGAGUUUAGAUAUUUAGGUGUAUUUAGCUAGGAAGUGUCCUUAGUAGACUUCUGUACAAAGUAGUAUUCUGAUGCCCUAGUUAAUCAGUGUUUCUAUCAAUGACCCUGCUGUUGCCUUAUACCUUAUCAGAGUUGUUUCCUCACAUACUAGUGGCAGUAACCCCUCCAUCGUGAGGGUUAGGAUGAAUAGUUUUACCAUGCUAAUGAUCCAAUAUACUGUAUCUGUGUAGAUUUGCAUGAUGUGAUAGUGUGCACAAGAAUAAGAUAUGUCGGUGAUGCUUCCGCACUUGUUCUCUUUUUAUUUGUUCACUUUGUUGAUGAAUGGCCUUUUGUGUUCUUGUCAAUUAAUUCGUUAGGUUAUAUCUGUACCUUAGGUUAGCUCCACUGUUAUAGCAAACUUAUAUGACUGUCUUUGGAUCCAAAAAUGGACACGCCGGUUUGUAGUUGCACAGAUUAGUGACUGGCUGGUUGGGUUAUGCAGCUGCUGCCAUCAAUAAGUUCCCUUUCUAUAUUGUGACUAAUAGCUAGUAAUGCCAGAGAUGGUUGCAAAAUCUGGGUAGAUUAAUUCUACUUUGGGUGAUUUAGUUGAGGUGGGUGUAGAAUUCUAAUGCAGCAUAAUGGACCAUGAAUAGGUACUGAAUUAUAGAAAGUUAUUAGACGUCUUACUGCAGUUGAAAAUGUAAUGCUAGUGGUUAAAGGCCCCAACCCUUCAUUACAAAGGCCCCAACCCUUCAUUACUAGCUAUUCAUAAUCUGCACCCACUCCCUCCCAUUUACCAAUCUUUUGGCUCACAUUGCAGAUACAGAUGUUAAUGCCAUUAUAUUAUUGCUUAUUGCUUACUGAAAUAUAAUAGACCUCAUGUGCACCAAUCCGGAUUAGAAAGUUCAAACACAGUCCAAGUUGGCCGAUCCCUUCUAACGUAACACACACUAGAAGUGACACUCGAAUGAAUACGAAGCUCUACAUGUUUAUGUCGAAAACUACAGUUUUACCAGGGACAAGGUAAUUACAGACUCACCACUAGGGUUUUACCUACAGUUUUACCAGGGACAAUGUAAAACAAAGCGACGGAUUGGAUUACGUGAAGGAGAGAGUAAAAGAUUCCGUGGGUGUGAUGUGACCGACUGCUUCAGAUUUGCUUCCUCCCGCCCAAUCCCUCACAUGCAAACCCCCAAAAAAAAAAAAAAAAAAUCAAGCACAUGCAUUACAAAAUUACUAUUUUGUCCCGUACUAUUUUCAUGCUUUUGGCACUACAACUCUGAACGUACGAGACUACCCCCUCAUGAUUCAUUGCCAUACUAAACUAACAAUGCCAAUGAAUUCUUCCGUUGAAAGUUUACCAUGAGAAAAUAUAGAACAUUAUACUCAGAAGCACUAUAGAAUACCUUCGCCGUUAAAUUUUAGGACGGUGUGCCGAAUUGAGUGUCUAGGUCAAGCUGAAGGGGGUAAGAAGUAAUUUUUGCUAGGGCAAGAUUUGAAAAAUUAAUUAUAGUAAAACUAUCUUAAUUGUGGGAUUCCAAUCCUUGGUAACAACAAUGCCCGUAGCUUAAGUUAAUAAUUUCUGUGCACCGAUAAACGACACCAACUCCAUUAUAAAUUAGUGCAGCCCUUCCCUAUUAAUCAAAUACCCCUUCAAUUUCCCAACCUGCCCUUCGAACAUUUGAAUAUCAUUAUGUCUGACAAGGGCAAUAAAGUCUUUCUACACAUAGGGUGCUCCCUCCAAUGCUGCCAAAUCACUGGUCUAAGUGUACAUGAAGAGAAAGAAAACAUAAACAAAAAAAUAAAAAAGAGCAUAUGAUGAGCUCAGGCUCAUGGCUUUUAGUAGACAUGUACAGAAACUGAGCAGCACUUGUCCUUUGAUUCAACCAUGGUCUUCUUUGAGUGAUUGAGUUAGAGAGAGGGUUUAGAGUUUUGUGUGUGCAUUAUUCAUUCUUCAUUUCUUCAACUUCAACUUCAACUUCAACCUCUCAGUCUAUCACACUCUUUUAUCAUCCCAAGCAUGCUUUCUCUCACUAGCGUUGUGUCUCACCACAUCAGUAAACUUCCUCCCUUUUUCUCUCACUAGACCCUCCACACUUUUGCUUUACUGCUCUUUUGCCUUGUUCUGAUUGUUUCUUUUAGGGAGUGCCCUUUACUCUUUUUUUUUNUUUUUGUUUGGUUACAAUUAAUUGACUGUGCUAUUUUACAUGGUGGGUUUGGCGGUUUCUGUCCUAAAUAUUAAGGCUUUGAGUGCAAGAGAUUGAAGAACAUGAUUACAUCUGCUGUUGGUUGCUUGUUGGGUUUUCCUUUUGCUUCACUUAUCUGAGAUCUGGUGGGGUAAGCACUCUGUUCUUUUAUUAUUUGGCUUAGAAUGCAAGUGAAAUAUCCAGUCUGGGAUUUCUUUUUUCAUUUAUAUUUAUUGCCAGAAUCAUGCUUUUGGGUGUUUUAGCUGUCUUGCUUUACUCAUUUUCUGGGAUCUUUUAGAGUCAAUAGGAAGGAUGGUGCUUUUUCUUAGUUUGGCAGAGAUCAGAGUUUGGGUGGUUUGAGGUUUAUGUGAUUCCAAAGCUUGGAAUCAUUGAUAGGUUGAUUGCCUUUCUAAGAAUUGGUGUUUGGGAAGGUUCAAGAUAAAUUAUUAUUUUUUCUGUUUCUGGAAUUUGACUCCAUUGGUGGGAGUAUGAGCUUGCAGCUAUUGUGAAUGUGAUUGUUGCAAUAAUAAAAUGCAUUGCCAUCAGUAUCUGUGUAUUACUGUAAGUCUAUAUUUGUUUGCAGUUUUGGUUUUAUGCUUGUUUGUGAUUUCUUCUGUUGUUGUCAAAGACAUAUAAAAGCAUAGGUCUUAUCAAUUGUCUGUAGCGGAGCUUGAAACUUGACUUUUCUCAAAGGAGGUGGUUUGGCAUAUAGUGCACAUUGUGCUUAGAUGUCUUGGAUUUCAACUUUUCUCGGUAAAUUAGCUGAGUGCUUUCAAUCUGGUGUAUUUUGUAUAACUCAAUCAGCAUACAAGUUUGCUGAAAGAAUGUUAGUGUGGAAUCAAAGUUGAAGGGUCAAUUUCUUGUUGAAGAUCAUAGAUGGUAUGUAUGCAUAACAAUUGGUCCUGCAGGACUUGAUCUCUAUCUUCUGUUAAUGAUUUUUGCAGGACUUCAGAUGUGUCGAUGGGACUAGAAAUGGAGUUCGAGAAAAAUUGCAGAGUGGGUCUGAGUCCCAACACUGUUCUUCCAACUCAUCGGCAUUCCUGUGUUGAAAAGAGGAGCACAAAAGGAAGGCCGCCACGCAGAGAUGAUCUAUUGAGUAUCAAGGAGGGGUUUGUGGAAAUCAGCUUUCAACGCUAUCGCAGCACUUCUUGUAAGGUACCAUCUAGACCUGUUGGACAGGAAGUUAACGUUGAACUUAAGCGAGGUUCUAUAUAUCAAAGCUCCAAGGAGGUUAGGGAAAUUAAGAAAAUGGGCACUGCUGAGGGAAGGAAAAAGAUUGAAAAGUCUCGAAGUAGUGACUCCUCUUUCUCUUACAGAAUUAUUGAUACGUUACAUAGUUCAGGUGAUGAAAGUCCACAGAAUAGGUCUUCAGUACUGUCUUUGAAACCCGAAUUGAAUGUACCAUCUGCUGGAAGGCCUCAUGUAGAACCGUGUUCAUUGGAUAGCAUUCUAGAAAUUUGUGUGGAUCCAGAUGACAGGGAAGAGCACUCAGCUGAAGCUUUAGGAGAAGAUCCAAUGCAUUUGAAUCUAAGAAGUGAUCCGGUUGCUGGACCACUAAACAACGGAAAUGAACUUCUUGAAAGGGAUGAAGUUCACAAAUUGCACAAGUCAUUCUCUGCUAAGGUGGAAAUGCUUCAUACUCCUUCUCCAUCAGAGAGUGAUCGCUCGUCCAGUGUGAGCUCAAAGGCCCGGUUCAAUAAUAUAAGAAAGAUGUUUGAUCCAUUUAAGAAGUCCAAGUCAUUGCGAAGUCCAAAUUAUGUUGUGGAGCCUGGGGGAGCCAAAACAACUGGGAAGGAAGACAUGACAAAGGGCAGGACUCAUCAAAAAUCUUUGUUGCCUGUCUUUUCAAAUACGGUACAGAAUGCAGGUGGUGAUUCUCUGUGUGUCAACCAAGAUAACCACCAGUCUAGCGUAGCGUCUUCACCGGUUCACCUACAUGGCCGUCUUAAGUUACAAAAUAAACAUGGAAUGCCUUUAUUUGAGUUCUUGUUGAAGGGAUCAGAAGAUGUCUUCGUGGCCAGGACAUGGAAAGCAGACAAUGGUUUUAACUGGGUGUAUACCUUUCAUGCCAUUGGCGGUAGAAAGAAGAGCAAUGCCAGCGGUGUGGGAUCACAUGGUAGCGAUAGAGAUUCUUCAAUGGUGGGACAAAUGCAAGUUUCUUGUUAUCUAUGUUCAGAACUGAAGGAUGGAGCUUUUGACAAUUCCAUGUCGACAGAGUUUGUUUUGUACGAUAUUUCUCAUGCAAGGCAAAUUGCAGCAGAAAAAGAAAACUCUAAUUGUACCCUUGAUGAUGCUAAACAUCCCAAAGGUUCCAAUCAGAGCACAGAGGGUGCAACUUUAAAGUUGGGUGAUGGGUCUUGUCCAACGAAGGUCAAACAUCAACACAAGAGUAGUGAUACCGAUUCUCCAGCCUGGCCAUUUGCAGCUUUGCAUCCAGGUCUUGAAAUUGUAGCCAUUGUUAUGCAAGUUCCAUUUGAAAAGAGAGAGAGCUUGAAAUACAAGAGAGGGGACAAGGUAUGUGAUAAAGUACCUGCAAACCUACUCAAGCUCCCUAUGGUCAAACAGAAGAAGAAGAAUGACCCUGAUAGUCGAAACUCAGGAAACCUGAAGGUGAUAAUUCCAUCUGGAAACCAUGGUUUGCCGAGUACUGAAAGCAAGGGUCCUUCAUCAUUACUAGAUCGAUGGAGAUUUGGUGGUGGUUGUGACUGUGGUGGCUGGGACAUGUCUUGUCCUCUUACUGUGUUAAGCAAUCCCAACAUUCAGUUGGCUGAUAAUCAAUUAUUUGAAGAGAAUCAGCAGCCUUUGGAACUUUUUGUUCAGGUAAACUUCUUCGAUAUUUUAAUAUGUUCUAUGAUCAAAAGCUUGUGAAAAUGAAGUUCUCUAGUUUAGUCUUUGAUUGAAAAGAAUUAUAGAACAACUUGAGUUUCUAGCUCCCAGUAGACUUUGCACUAAUUUCAGUAUGCAUCAUUCUGUUUGUCGGCAUCUGACAUCUCAUAUUACUCUCUUUUGAUUUGUUUGCAGGGAUCAAAGGAGAAACAACCAGCAUUGACCAUGACAAUGGUUGAAGAUGGACAGUAUGCAGUUGAUUUUCAUGCACAGUUAUCAACGUUACAAGCAUUCUCUAUGUGUGUUUCCAUUCUGCAUGGUACAGAAACAUCGGCAGCUGCCACUGGGCUGGAGGAAAACACACAGUUGUCACAGUGCAGUUCAUUGAAAGUGCUUAAAGAGGAAGUGAAGUUCUUAAUUGAAGCAGUCACAGAAGGGGAGAAGAAGAAAGUAGCCAAGAGGGUGAAAAAGAUCCAACCAUGUUAUACACUCGAUCCACCUUUCUCUCCUAUUGCACGAGUAUAGAUUUCGAGUAGCACACUUGAGUUUUUCUCCAAAGACCCACACAGGGAUCAGGGAUGGCCCCAAGGGUAUCAGAAACAGAUGGCUGAGACAAUGCUAGCCGCAACCGGUCUUGGGGGUCAUUUGGUAUCAAAACUAUCAGUACCAUGGACACUACCCAGCUCAGAAAACCGGAAAAAGGCUGCAUCGAAUCACAACAGAAGUUUUGAAGCUGCUUAUUCUUGCCAUUGCCUUUGGUUUAUUGCCAUAGAGGGUUUACAUCAAAUGUGAUGUAUUUUUGGAGGGGGUCUAUGAUAAACUUUUCAACAGAAUACAAUACUGUCCAUAUCGAAACUUGUAGGGAGGAAAAGGAAGUAGUCAUGUUAUAUGAGAAUUGGGAGAUACAGUUCCUUCUCUUUUGCAGUAAGUUUCUUAGUGUAGUUUAUUAGAUAGGAAGGAGGGGGUAGUAGAACCCUGAAAUUGGUGUUACUAUUGAUGUAUAAUAUGGAGAAGCAAGAAGACAAGCACUUGGUCUCCAAAAUGUAUGAGUAAAUUUGAACUGGGCACCUUCUUACUCUACUGCAUUGUUAAUGGAAUAUUGGUUCUUUUUCUCUUUUUUUUGGAAAUGAAAAAAAAAAUAAUGAACCAUUGUUUGCUUGUGAUUCAAGGUUUUUCCUCUGAAUUAUGCCAUAAGAAAAAAAACGCCGUUGCCGGGGAUCGAACCCGGGUCACCCGCGUGACAGGCGGGAAUACUUACCACUAUACUACAACGACCUUGUUGAUAGUAAAUGUCUGUAAUUUCUUUUUGAAGAGUUUGGUUCUUCUCGGCCUUUGAGCUCAGUAGCAUCAUAAAAAUUACAUUUUUAAGAACCUACUUACUGACACUCCCCAAGAAGCUACGAGCUGUAACUUAUGCAUACCCGAACUGCUAAGUUUGUGUAAUCUCCGAAGCAUGUAUAUAGUUAUGGCAGUAAGUCCUUUAGGCUUAAGCAUAGGCAACACAAAACUAAAACACGAACUUCUGCUUCUCAUUUGUAUUCAAUAACUAAAGGUCCAUCAACACCGUCAUGAUACAGAAUGGCACACACUAGCACCUACUUCGACUAUACAAUCACUUUUUCUCUUCUGGAACAAUACAUAUGUUAAAUCCUACUUUUGCUUCGCAUAUUCUUUUGUCACUUACAUAAAAAUACAAAAUUCGUUUCUCAUGAUUGUAGACUGUGCAGUCUUGCUGGUGUUGGCGAUGGUGGCUGGAAUGUUGAGGGUGUUACUGGAUCAUCUUCCAUGUUUCGUUCGUAUUGGAUUCUUUGAGCAUUAGGUUGUUGCCUUGCCAAAGAAAAAGAUUUCUUGAAAAAUUCAUAUGAUGCAAAGAAGAGGGCUCCUUGCGACAUAUACAUAACCAAUCGUGGGGUCAAUCCCCUGACAAUCACAACAAGAAUCACGGUCAUACAUCAACAUAUCAGGCAUGCAGCAGCUCAGUGCAACUACAAUUCCCUUACAACGGUUUCAGAGGACAACGAGAUGAAAGUGACUCAUGGAAUUGUUACAAGAGAAAAACAUAAUGAUGGGCAGAAAGGACCAAUUGAUACCUGUAUAGGCCUUUUAGACCUUCUUUAUUUUCUAUUUCCUGAAGGGCGUGAAUCACACUGUUAUACUGGCUCACAGACCCUGGAAUCUGCAUAAACACCCCUUUAUAAGAAGCGUGUUGGCAAUGGGACAUUAAUCUUAAUUGGCAUUUGUGCUGCAAUUUUCUUAGUGAAGUUCUGGCAUACUGCCCAAAGGGCCAUUAUACACUAUACUUCCAAUCUCCAAGAGACGUAUUUCAUAAACAAGUAUAGACUAUAGACAAGGAAAGCCUCAUUAAUCAAUGGCUGGGACAUAUUUCUGACCAUGGAUUACCCAGACUGUUAUUGUUCAACAUAGGACAAUGAAAUAUACUGUAAUUGUACUGAAUCAAGUGAGAAAAGGCUCUCUAUAGAAAUAUGCAUAACAUUACAAACCUGCGUCUGCAAUCUCGUUUUCACAACAUCAAAAGGAGUUGUGAAUAAUGCAGCAGUAGAUCCAGCCAGUCCUCCACAAACUAGCUGCACGGACGGCAAAAUCAUAUUUAGUUAAUCCGGAAUGGAAAAGAGAACAGAAAUAACUUGCUCAGAGCCAGUUCCAAAGAAGGUAGAUAAUAUCUAAAUGUAAGAGGAUUGGAUAGAGGGGAUUUAACUGUUUGUAAUGUGCUGGGGUGAUUUCUAGAUUCUUCAGAAGAUGACAUCAAUUUCUUCAACCUUUCAUAUGUGUAGAACUGCAAAUAAAACAUAAAUCUUAGAUAUGACGUGCCGAAGUACAAAGGAUAUGGAAGUAAAAAACCAAUACUCAUCCAUUAUAAUAACCAUGUGGAAUCAUUAAACAUUCAAAAUAGAAAGUCAUGGCACAUUUUUCUGACCCACAUUCUCUCCCUCUCUUCCUAGUGUCCCUGUUGGUCCAAUUCCGUUCUCAGUAUGUAGAAAUAACUAACCUUAACAAUUGAGUGUGGAACAUUCCUGCAGAGUACAGCUCCCCAUCCAGCAUAUAAUGAAGUGAAACCGCCCUUCUGAAUGAUGCCAACCAAAGCAUUCCUGAAGCAAAUGAAAGGUUAAAUAGACUCUGAGCAGAACAGAACUUCUAUGUAGGGGAAUGCCAGAACUAGAAUGAUAGUUACAACAAGGCUUCUUGCAUGAUAUUCCAACAAUAUAUUAUUAGCAAUAAACCUCAUACUUCAAUAUAUAAAUAAGGUCCAGAAGAACCCAGCAAUACUACAUGAGUAGUGGUAUUGGAAGACAAUACCAAGAUCUUAAGGAUAUACCAGCAGUUGUGAUACUUUGAACCAACUUGCAUCUGCUGCUUUAUACGUUCACUCGGAGUAAAGAUAAAGGAAGUGGCAAUGCUUGCACAACCGCCUGCCACACAAUGGGCAACAGAAUAAUACUCCUGCACAAAAAGUAAUGUGUGAGACACAGAAAGCCUGAAAGCAUCGGCUCACACAAAAACCAAUGAUGACAACUGUUACAUUUCUAAAAUAUUAUUCACCUUCCUUCCUGGACUCCACAUGAGUAUCAAAAUUGAAAUAAAAAGAGCAAUACGGAAAUGGGAAGAUAGUAGCAAUAUCAAUUGGGGAGAUACAGAAACUUAGUGACAAUGCUUGAGGCGAAAAGAGAGAGAGAGAGAGAUAGUAAAGAGAGUUACAGAGAUAAAGAAGUACCUUCGGAAAUAAAGGAAGCAAAGAUCCUUUAACUGAUUCAUAUGUGAAAGUGUAAAUGGAAGAAAUUGGAGCUGAAGAUGCAACGUUGGUAGCAAUACCACGAUAGAGUCCAGUUAAGCCUGAAAUCAAUAUCACCAUCAGUUUUUCUGAAGUACAACAGGAUAAAGCCUUUAAGAGUUUCAAAGAUAGAUAAGUUCUAACAGCAUAUAUUUUCUUCAAUUCCUAUAUAUCAGCCCACCUCUAUCAGACACAAUUGAUUUUCCAAUGAACCAUAUAGAUUUUUGCUCUGCCCGGCAAGAUUGAAUUACUGUCUUGAUUGUAUCAACGGGAUGAAGACAAAUGCUAACAAAAACUCCGGACAAUGCACCUGCAAAGGCAUGCUCUUGUUUAGCAAGAGUAUGAAGCUUAUCGUGUGCUAAUGCACAGGGCUGUGCCUUGCAUCCAUCCGUUAUAACGAAGUUUUCUGGCUGUUUCUUUUUGUUGUCAACUAGGUCAUGAUCAUCUAUCUUAUGAAGACAUUCUUCCAAUCCAUUACCACAGGAAGUUGACGAGUCUAUAUGAUAAUCUGCAAGAAGACUAGAACAUGGGGCCCUUGAAAUAAUGUCAUCUGCCUCACCAGCUACAAGAAAAUAGUCUGAACACAAAGAUGCUCUUGUACUAAUCUCUGACUUUUCAUCAUCAUCCUUAGAUAAGUUACUAGAUUUGACUGGAGCAGGGUUAGACACAGCAUUUCUGGCCAAGUCAUCUACAAGUCUACUUGUUUCUCCUGUAAUAGAGCCUCCUGCAACAGCGUUAGUAUCUACUGGACUGCAACAUUGGUCAGUUCUGUUCUCACUCUCCGAAACUUUGACCGGGCGGUUUGCCCCAGAAGAAAUCACAUCAUUCAUCCAUCCAUACAUGCUUCCCAAUUGGUAUGAGACUUCGAAACUUGCAGUUCCAUUUCCUUUCGAAGAAUCUUUAGGCACAUCAGUACCACCAUACAAUAACCUCCAAAAUGAAGCCUGAUAGAAACUUUUACUGCAAUGGCCAAAUACUGACAUAUUUUGGCUAACCUGCUUUAAAUCUAUACGUGGUUGUGAUAUCGUUGGAAUCUUAUCAGAAUCCCUUAAGUUAAAAGUCAAAUUACCACUAUCCUCUGAAAGAGCUUCCCCAUCCAGACCGGACAAGAUAAUCUGUUUCCGACGACUACUUUGAAUCUCCUCUGAAUUUACCUUGGGUUGAAAUAAUCCAAGAGGACGGCUUGCAUAAUCCCAUAUCUGGCCAACUGCUGAGAUGAGCUCAGUAGUGCUCAAUAUCUCAGGCGACUUGUUCUGCAAUUUUAUACUCCCUUGAUUAUUACUUUUGCGAGAAACUGUGUGGGGAGAGGAUGCCAGACCAAUUUUAUACCCCCUGUAUUUGAUCGAAGCUUGAUCAUUCUCAUGUGGCUUAUUGCACCUAGCCAUUUUCUCAAGCCCCCUUGAGAAUAUAGUGUAUCUUGCAAUAGAAGUAACUGCAAAAUGGAAUUAGCAAAUGGCAUCAUUGGACAAAGCUAAGAAUGACAGAACAAACAGUAAUCUCAUUACAACCCUCCCUCCCCCAACCGCAACAUUACUUAGCAUUGGUUUUCUCCGCCCCAACUUCUACUCUCAAUUCACAAUGCAAUCAAUACCAUGAAUCAUUCAACAAUUUCAGCAACAACAACAACAACAACUCAGAAAAAAGUUCAGUGCUUUAUACACAAUCGUUCGUUAACGGUCAAUUUCUUCCCUUUCUUAUUUCAAGCAGAUUACGCAAAAGCCACCCGGCUCGAGCUUCUCCGAUGAAACCAGCACAGCAACUUACAGAUCUGAAUAAACCAGUACAUGAACCCAGAAUGAGACAUCAUCAAAUUCCCAAUCAGCACCAUCAAACACUUAAUCUAUCAAAACCCAUAAGCUAACCAACACUCUUUGCACCAAUCUACACCCACAUAGAACACAAUUGAAUGCUCUAACAUGUAAUACAAUUCAAACUAUCCAUUCAAUUCCAUAAGCAUUUCAAUCAAACUACCCACUAUAGAGAUUCAAUUCAACAUACUAUCCAGCCAAAUUUUAACUACAUUUCAAUCAAAUUAACAGCUUUAAUCACCAGAAUCAAUCAAUUAUAACAACAAAAAUCGAAGCUUUGAAGAAAUCAGAAUUGAAGUAAACGACUCAGAAUAGGUGAGAAUAGAAGAACCUUGAUGAAGAAGAGAGUGGGUGCUUUCCAGCUGAAAGCAGAGUCUGCGUCGCCGUGUGGUUCAUUUGCCGGCGAAAAAUUGAAGGUGAAAAAUUAGGGUUUAAAGUGUGUGGGGUUUAUGGAUUUGCAGAAUAAAUUCAAAUAGGGCAGCUUUAUAUGUAAUCGUGUGCGCACGUUACCAAAUUAUUCUUAUUCGUUUUGCUAAUAUACGCCAGGGUGUGAGGAUAACGGGAAAUUGAAGGAUCUACCACGUGUCUGUCACGAUUUAUCUGUAUAAUUUUCUGGAUCUUGAUCAGGCGGCUCAGUGUCACGUGAUACGACUGUUCUAUGUUACUUUUUGUUAUUUAUUUCAAAACAUAUUCUACACGCUUAUUACGAUCAGAGUUUUAGACUCAAUGUUCCCACGUAUUGAGCAGUUUCAUCAAUUAAGGUAUAAGGACAUGCAGUUGCAUAAGUCUUUUAUCAAAAAUAAUUUCAUUCAUCAUCGUUACCAAAUACAUUUUUUAGGAAUCGGAUUUUUUCCUUCUCAAUAAAAAUACAAAAAUGAUAUUUUUUUCUAACAAAUUCAUUUCGUGAAUCAAACGAGUGUUUAUUCUGGUGAGACCUUAAUUUAUUCUCACACAGUAUCAUCAAGCCACAUUGACGGGAGCGGGACUAGGAGCAGGAGGUUUGAUGUUGCAGAUCAUGUUUUCGCAAUGAUUCAGGCAAUUUCCAAUCUUUGACUUACCUGCCAUGAAAAAACACAGUAAAUUAAGCAUGUGUAUUCUAUACAUACGUAUUUGCAUACAUACAUAUAAUAGAAUUAAGAAUGGCAAAUAGGAAGGAGAUGUGUUGUAUGAUGUACCAUUUCCAUGUUUCAGACACUGAUCAUAAGUGCAGCCAAGUUUGCAGUAGUACUGGUGAUCAAGAUCCUGACGUGCUAGAGCUGCACCUGGGCAGCCAGCUAUACAUCUAAAGAAACAUGCCAUGGUUCCUCCUCUACAUUUAUCAUAACAGGCUUGGAUGCAAUGGGAUUCCUCCAGCAUACCUGCAUUUACAUUUCCGAUGAAAAGAAUCACCAUCAUUGCAAUUACAGAGACAAACUUCAUAGACUCCAUUGAUAUUUCUCUCUGAAUUUUCUUGAAGAAACUCAGGAGGGUUGUAUAUCUGGAUGAAACACUUUCACCUGAAUAAACCAAGGACCCAUGAACGCCCUUUAAUACUACUUGUCCUCCACCAUAAAAGGUAGCUUCAUAAAAUAAAAUCAUAUAAAAGAUUUAUAACAUAAUUGGAGAAAAUCGAGCAAGCUAGAACCAUGUAUCCGAUUAAUAAUUUGGUAAGAAGUCAUUCAAAACUUACCUUAUUAUACCUUUAUAAAGGACAUAACGUAUUUGGUUCGCUUCAUUGAUUAUGAAUUAGCUGUAUAUAUUGUGCAAUUCCUAUAUAUAUUUAUGAACAGAAUGCCAUUAGCUAUUAAUUAGUGGCAGAACAAAACGUUACAGAUGAACAGAAGCAUGCAUGUCACUGCUGGAAAAAGAUGAGAAAAACAGAAACACAGCUAGAAAUUGAAGACGACCCAUUACUAUUUACUAAAAUGGGUUUUGUAGUACAAAUAUCAGAGGAAGAGUGUCCUGCGGUGUCCGGCCGAUUCUGGGUCGCACCGUGCCGGCCAUUUCGCCGGAGAAAGAUGAGCCGAGGGUCAGAAGACCCCGAUGACGAUGAGAGAAGAGUUCGAGUUUUUUCAAUUUUCUAAGGUGAACCCCAGCCUGCCUAAGGCCCACCACACCAGGUUCCGCCUAGCCCGCAUAGGCCCACUUCCCGUGUGUUUCACCUAUGUGAAUAUGGGCCAGGUUAGACCCACUUCCCUUGUUCUGAAAUCCAAUAUGGAAAUCUGGAGCCAGUUCUGGCAGCAAGUGCAUGCAGUUGCUCUUAAACUUGACCACUUUCUUUUCGUCAAUCAUGCAAUGCUUAUUGCUCUUUUUGAAAGCCUAUUUUUUUAGCUAAAUUAGGAGUGAGACCCUCUUACGCUAAAUGAUACAAAAGAGAAUACUUCAUUCUUUCAUCAAAUUAUGUAGAUCGAUGCAACCAACUUGCAGACAUUUUUUUAUGUUUUAUGGUGUUGGUUGAAGUGUUAACACAACGGUCACGUGUUACACCAUUAUCUACUAUUUAUGUUGCUUAUACUUCUACGGGCUCACUACCCAUUCUUUAAAGAAGUUUAUCGGGAUAUAAGUUGAAGUGUCAUGUACCUCAUGUUCACAUGCAAUACGGUCUCACCGAGGCUACUACCAAACAACUUUAGCUUGUCACUCGAACAUUAUUGAUGUGCACCAAUCUUUCUAUUGCGUCUUAGGGAUAUGCAAUAUUUGAAUGCAUCUUUACUAUUUAUCUACUACCCACCAUCAUUGAAUAUUUUUGUAUUACAACUCGUGACUGUGUACCAGUAUUGACACAAAAUUGCAAUCUUUGAGCUCAAACAGGAUUGAAAUGGAUCUCUAAUCUUUGAGCUCAGCUAGAUGUUAUUUCUAGGUGCCAAAUCGCAAUGUCACUGUGCAUAAUGAUGGGUCAUUUGAGAUGAAUAAGUUUACGUUGGAUAUGAAACUCCACCUAUAAUCCACUUAUGUAGAAACCUUAUCAGACGAUCUCAUUCACCGCUAAAUUACGGAUUGUUACUUUGAUGAGACAAUAUUCCCGCCAUUAGGGGGAGAUAAGAACACAAGUGUUCAAGUCAAAAGACGUGAAUUGUCGUGGUUUGUCCCCACUAAGUUUCAUCUUGAUCCCAAAUGCUUAAAGUGUUAAAGUGACUAGAUCGAUCACAUGUUGCAAAUAUGUCUGCAAUGAUUGAUGUCAUAUCAAGAGGACAUGGCAUGACCAAAAGGAGUUGGUCUUGACACCAUCACCAUGGAUGGUGAUAUGGUGACACCAUAUAGUGGCAAAAUUGGUGUCACAAGGCUGUGUGGCUCCCCAAAAUGAGGGAGACCCUUCGGUUCGAUACUUUCUCGCGUGCACGUGGAAAGCGAGCUUAGCACAACCUGAUCCAUUGAUCAGUGAUACUCAAAUGCGUCUCAUAAAGUCUGAAUUGUGAUUAUCGUUGGGGACGCCUUAAUGUCAAAUCCAAUCCAUAUGGAGAUCUCUACAAGUAUUACACUAGUGUACAUGAGGACAUGAGAUAAUGAGUCUACUAUCGAACCACCAUUCGUUGAUGGAUAUCAACUUAGUUGAUUGGCCUAAUGGAAAGAUGUGAUCCAACAUUAACAAAGAGAUAGGUCCUUGGGCAGGUGAUGCCGACACCGCAAGCUAAACUCUAUCAAAUAUGUCUUUGUUAGAUAGUGUAGUGAGAACAAGAGUUUAGAAUCACCUUAUGGCGCAAAGUCUCUCACUAACACGCACUGUGAUCAACUAUGAUGAGAUAUGCUCUCGUAAUGGAUGUCAUUGAACUCCACUACUUUGUCAAUUUGGUAGUUUCCGAAUAACUGAACAUGCAGCGUAUGAAUGUGGUCAUAAUAACAUCUCUAUGGGAUCAGAGAUAUACAUAAAAGUCUUAAACGGACUUCAUUCAUUCGAAUCAGGUGGCUCCAGACCACAGGAGUACGCGUUUGCUAAAGGUAUUGAAACGCACAUGGACUCUACUUGAUUUAGAAGGGAUAUAAUGAAUUACGUCUUUGCGUGUUCAUUCCGGAUUUACAUGUACUCUUGAUGGAUCAAGGGAUGCCAAUAUGUAUCAACAUCCGAAGUUAAUAAUGAAAAAGAUCUUGGGAAGACACGGUCUCGAUAAGGCACUCGAUGACUGUAUUGAUGACGAUUUUUCAUCAAUCGGCUUAGGCGCUCUAUAACUAGUGAGGCCUACAUAUACCCCAUGAUUAGUUAAAGUCUUUACUCUAAAGAGAGAUAUGUUGUUUUGUCUAAAAAAAGAUGACAAAUAUGUGUUAAGAGAUGAAGUUCUCAUCUAAGUACAAUAAGAUGUAUCAAUGUACUCAACAUAAUACGAAAGACUUGACAUCUCAUUCGUAAUGAAAAGUUGUAAAGCUAAGCGUAGCUAUACACCUACGCAACGCCAAUAUAAUGGCAGUAACUCCUUUUUCAAUACUUAAUGGUAUGAAAGGUUGAGGUUUAUUUUAUCCCUACAUAAGAAAGACACAUCAAAAGCGAAAUCAGAAUCUGUCAAGUUUCAUAGGUUAAUUUUCAUAAGACCUACAUGAAAUCUCACUUAUUGGAAAAUGGUGAAUUUGGUACUAUUAGAAAGGUCUAUGUGUCUACUUUCCAAGAACAUGAACCAUUUGAUCAUACCUAUCAUAUUGAGUAGGACGGAUCUGUCCGAGAAUCUGAUUUUGCCAAAACAGUCAACUUUGACCGGACUUUGUGAACAGAUCCUGAUGAAAAAGAAUGUGUGUAAUAUACGGUUGGAAAGAUAAAUGAGUCUAGUUUCCAAAACUAUUUAUGCUUCGUUCAUAUGUAUUUCCUAGAGGAAGUUAUGGCUGUUUUAGUAACUAAAGGUCAUGCUGCGUGGAAAUCUGAUUUCCUGCACGAACUUAUGUUUUAAGUUCACAGUUUUGAGUUCACAAGCGGCAUUCUCCUCAAGAUCUAAGUGUAAAAGAUCAUGUUUGAGGACAAUACAACAUGAUCUAGUUAAUCAUUGCCCAAUGCCACAAUUGAAGACAUGUUAAAGAGCAUUAACAUGCUAAGUUAUCGAAACUUCCGUGAUUAGUAAAAAUCAUGAAGAGCCCUAUGAUUGAUGUACAGAUCAGGGGGAGGUGUAAACUUCAGGGGGAGUCUAGCACAUGCAUGUCACUAUUAAAUGUGAAUGGUGCGUUGUACUCUUUUUCUCCUAUGAUAAAUGUUUAGUUUUUCUCCCAUAUGGUUUUUGUUCCUUGACGAGGUUUUUAACGAGGCGACAUAUAAUCACCACCGGCAUACCGGUGCACGGCAUAAGGGGGAGUGUUUUAGAAUAUUUCAUAUGUGUGUCUUGGUCUUAUGUCAUCAGAAUAUGUAGUUAGAAUAGACUAUGUAUUUAUUAUCAUUACCAUAUUGGUACUUUAUCGUUCUUUAUAUAAAGGGUUCCUAUCAAUGAAUAAGAUGAUGAUUCUCUAUUCUCUUACUAUCUCUCUUUGUCUGUACUCUUUAUUCUUAAUCACUUUUAUAUUAUUAUCAAUAAAACAAACAAAACAUGCCAAUACAAAUGGGAACUGCACCUCUUAUUUACUUAUUACAUAAAAACCUCUGUCACGGAAUAAAUCAAAUUAAUCCAUGUACUGAUGAAGGAUAAAGUGUAGAGACAAAGAGAUAGCAAGAGAAUUAUCAUCUUAUUCAUUGAUAGGAGCCCUUUAUAUAGGGAAUUACACAAUACCAAUAUGGUAAAGAUAUGAAUACAUAGAUCUAGUCUAACUACAUAUCCUAUUGGCAUAAGGCCAAGACACACAUAGAGAAUAUCCUAGAACACUCCCCAUUGUGCCGCGCGCUGAUAUGCCGAUGGUGCUGAUCUGUUGCCUCGUCAAAAACCUCGUCAAGUUACAAAAACCCUGUGGGAGAAAAACUGAACCUUGAUCGUAGGAGAAAAAGAGUACAACGCACCCUUCACAUUUGAUAGUGACAUGUAUGUAUGUGCUAGACUCCCCCUGAAGUUCGCACCUCCUCCUGAUCUUUACAUCAAUCAUAGGGCUCUUCCUGAUUCUUACUAAUCACGGAAGUUUCAACAACUUAGCAUGUCAAUGCUNNNNNNNNNNNNNNNNNNNNNNNNNNNNNNNNNNNNNNNNNNNNNNNNNNNNNNNNNNNNNNNNNNNNNNNNNNNNNNNNNNNNNNNNNNNNNNNNNNNNNNNNNNNNNNNNNNNNNNNNNNNNNNNNNNNNNNNNNNNNNNNNNNNNNNNNNNNNNNNNNNNNNNNNNNNNNNNNNNNNNNNNNNNNNNNNNNNNNNNNNNNNNNNNNNNNNNNNNNNNNNNNNNNNNNNNNNNNNNNNNNNNNNNNNNNNNNNNNNNNNNNNNNNNNNNNNNNNNNNNNNNNNNNNNNNNNNNNNNNNNNNNNNNNNNNNNNNNNNNNNNNNNNNNNNNNNNNNNNNNNNNNNNNNNNNNNNNNNNNNNNNNNNNNNNNNNNNNNNNNNNNNNNNNNNNNNNNNNNNNNNNNNNNNNNNNNNNNNNNNNNNNNNNNNNNNNNNNNNNNNNNNNNNNNNNNNNNNNNNNNNNNNNNNNNNNNNNNNNNNNNNNNNNNNNNNNNNNNNNNNNNNNNNNNNNNNNNNNNNNNNNNNNNNNNNNNNNNNNNNNNNNNNNNNNNNNNNNNNNNNNNNNNNNNNNNNNNNNNNNNNNNNNNNNNNNNNNNNNNNNNNNNNNNNNNNNNNNNNNNNNNNNNNNNNNNNNNNNNNNNNNNNNNNNNNNNNNNNNNNNNNNNNNNNNNNNNNNNNNNNNNNNNNNNNNNNNNNNNNNNNNNNNNNNNNNNNNNNNNNNNNNNNNNNNNNNNNNNNNNNNNNNNNNNNNNNNNNNNNNNNNNNNNNNNNNNNNNNNNNNNNNNNNNNNNNNNNNNNNNNNNNNNNNNNNNNNNNNNNNNNNNNNNNNNNNNNNNNNNNNNNNNNNNNNNNNNNNNNNNNNNNNNNNNNNNNNNNNNNNNNNNNNNNNNNNNNNNNNNNNNNNNNNNNNNNNNNNNNNNNNNNNNNNNNNNNNNNNNNNNNNNNNNNNNNNNNNNNNNNNNNNNNNNNNNNNNNNNNNNNNNNNNNNNNNNNNNNNNNNNNNNNNNNNNNNNNNNNNNNNNNNNNNNNNNNNNNNNNNNNNNNNNNNNNNNNNNNNNNNNNNNNNNNNNNNNNNNNNNNNNNNNNNNNNNNNNNNNNNNGUCGGCAUCACCUGCCCAAGGACCUAUCUCUUUGUUAAUGCUGGAUCGCAUCUUCCAUUAGGCCAAUCAACUAAGUUGAUAUCCAUCAACGAAGGGUGGUUCGAUAGUAGACUUAUUAUCUCACGUCCUCAUGUACACUAGUGUAAUACUUGUAGAGAUCUCUAUAUGGAUUGGAUUUGACAUUGAGGCGUCCCCCAACGAUAAUCACAAUUCAGACUUCAUGAGACGGAUUUGAGUAUCACUGAUCAAUGGAUCAGGUUGUGCCAAGCUCGCUUUCUUUCUAGUGCAAGACAAUAUCUAACCGAAGGGCCUCCCUCCUUUUAGGGAGCCGCACUGCCUUGUGACACUAAUUUUUGCCACUAUAUGGCGUCACCAUAUCACCAUCCAUAGUGAUGGAGUCAAGACCAACACUUUUUGGUCGCGCCAUGUCCUUUUGUAGGACAUCAAUCCUUACAGACAUAUUUGCAGCAUGUGAUCUCGUCACUUUAACACUAUAAGCAUUUGAGAUCAAGAUGAGACUUAGUGGGGACAAACCACGACAAUUCACGUCGUUCCACUUGAACACUUGUGUUCUUAUCUCCCCCUAACGGCGGGAAUAUUGUCUCAUCAAAGUGACAAUCCGCAAUUUAGCGGUGAAUGAGAUCGCCUGACAAGGUUCCUACAUAUGCGGAUUAUAGGUGGAGGUUCAUAUCUAACCUAAACUUAUUCAUCUCAAAUGACCCAUCAUUGUACGCAGUGGCAAUGCGAUUUGGCACCUAGAAAUAACAUCUAGUCGAGCUCAAGGAUUGGAGAUUCGUUUCAAUCCUGCCGAGCUCAAGGAUUGCAAUUUCGUGUCAAUCCUGGUACACAGUCACGAGCUGUAGUACAACAAAAUUCAAUGAUGGUGGGUCGUAGAUGAAUAGUAAAGCUGNNNNNNNNNNNNNNNNNNNNNNNNNNNNNNNNNNNNNNNNNNNNNNNNNNNNNNNNNNNNNNNNNNNNNNNNNNNNNNNNNNNNNNNNNNNNNNNNNNNNNNNNNNNNNNNNNNNNNNNNNNNNNNNNNNNNNNNNNNNNNNNNNNNNNNNNNNNNNNNNNNNNNNNNNNNNNNNNNNNNNNNNNNNNNNNNNNNNNNNNNNNNNNNNNNNNNNNNNNNNNNNNNNNNNNNNNNNNNNNNNNNNNNNNNNNNNNNNNNNNNNNNNNNNNNNNNNNNNNNNNNNNNNNNNNNNNNNNNAAGGAUUGAAAGAAGCUACGAAAAGCUGCAAUCCCGAGAGUGCAUAAAAAUUUCCGCGCAGAAUAACUUUUGCACACUAAAACAGCCAUAACUUCUUCGUUAAAAUAGAUAUGGACGAACCAUGAAAAGUUCUGAAAACUAGACUCAUAGAGCUUUCUAAUGAUAUAAAGUUCACUGUCUGGUUCGUCCGGAGAUGUUCACAAAGCUCAAACGAAGUUGACUGUCCAGAAGGGACAGAUUGCUGUUUUUCGCAGAUUUGACAUGUGCGAAGCUGUGAAGCUUGCAGGUGGCGUGUAGACUUUUGCCUUAGCCAAAAGUGACGUGUGUAUGAUCAAAACCAAGUCCUUUUGAUCGUUCUAAGGUCGUAAACUUCAUGACUAGUUAGCGAAAGCUCCCUAACAUGAACAUAAACUAACUCAGAGGACCUAGAGGAUCCGAUCAUGUUGAUAAUUUUCCAGCUUUGAUAAGUCUUCAACGUCUUUUGCAAGACGGCAAUUGGUUUAAUAGCGUAGGCGGAUCCAAAAUCAAAAGCUUUCGGUAACUCCAAGUCAGUAUGACCAGGCAUGUCCGUGGAGGGUCGGUAGUGCGAGGCACACUUAAAACCACUAUCUCCUUAAUUUCGGACAAUUCUAAGACAUCACACUGAGCUUGGAUGAGCCUAGUUGAACAAUUGAUGAUGAAAAAUCCGCUAUAGGGUAGAAGACUUAACCGGAAACACGUGGGCGAUCCUCCUUGAGGAUGCAGUGCCAUGAGUCACAUUCAAAAGAAGGGACCAAAAUCGGCACAAUAUGCCAUGUUUCUAAAGACGAUGUAAGUGUUCAUCUUGAUUGUAAAUCAAUAUGAACCAUAAGAGGAGAAUAUUUUCACUUCGAAAAAAUUCUCAAGGCAUUCAUUAUUGCUAAUGUGAGUACAUCGAGGUCUCAAAUAGACAAACGACGUCAAUACAACGCCUUAGUACAUAAAGCUUGGAACGAAAAUCAAUGUCUAGCCGAUGACGUCAAAGUCAUGGGUAGCUAGAGCAGGAUCCGAAUCUUUGAAAUUCGCGAUCAUGAGGAUGAUGUUCUUGUCCUCAUAUUGAUUUUCCGUACCUUUUUGUAUUCAUUCACAAUUUGAAGGAGCUUGACAAUCUUGAACCAGUGAUCCGAAGAUCCACAACGGUUGCAUUAAUGUCAUGAGCUGACGUGAGUAGUUUUGACAAAAUGGUGUCUAGACCGGGAGUGUCGCUAUUAGAGCCGGCAACACCUCCCCCUCUUUUCUAGACAUCGACACGACGUUUUCUACCGUUGCCAUGACCCAUAUUGUUGUCCCCACAUUAGGGGAUAAUCCCAAAUAAGUUUAUCACAUUAGCGUAUAUACAAUUCCUGUUUGUAUGAUCAAAAUCAAGUCUCGUUGGUAAUUCCACACAACUUGGAGGACCUAGAGAACUUGAUGAUGAUCGAAUCCGCUAAAGAUUAUGGAUCAUGAUGCCACAAAAGAUCAUCGACAAUAUGUAGUCAAUUAAGGUGGUAAGGAAUCCACUUGACUAAUAACUCAACAAGUAGAGUUAUAUGAACGUUUCGAGAAACGCUCCAUGAGUGCAUUCCACAAUAUUUUGUGGUCAUUACUUUUUGCACAGAUUGCCAUUGAAGGCUUUUGUCGAUGUGACGCGUCAAAGACUUUGAGCGCAUGAGAUGUGAAAUCUCGGCAUCUAGGCUUGUUAGCCUGGGAGUCAAAACAUGUGGUUUAAUCCUUUCCAAUGAAAGGUUCCACAGAUACCAAGCGAAGAUCCGCCUUAGGCAUCUAGUACGUCAAAACUCAAAGGAGCAGAAUGUUACAUUGCUUUUGCAUACAAAACCAAGCUGUUAUGAGACUCGAUAGAGGUCACAAACGAUGCUUUUAAUGGUUUGUCCUUCGGAUUGAUCAUACACAAUCCGGAAAAGCCGCGAAUUGAUCAAACACAAUUCGGAAAAAGGCCUCGGAUUGAUCAAACACAAUCCGGUGAAAGGUCGGGGUUGAUCAAACACAACCCGAACAAAGAAACAAGAGUGAUCAAACACACUCUUGACCCUCGAAUAAAAUUCCGGGAUUUGGGUACCUGCACGCACAAAAUCCCAAGCAUAGAAUGGAGAUGGAGAAGGGAGAAAAGGAUUUUAUCCUCCCCGAGUUAUUGAACUUGGAAAAGUUUAAGGUUUCAAAAAACAUACAUUUCUAGAGGCUGCCGAGAGGAGAAAUAACGUUUCGCCUACUUAUACUUCGAAUUUGGGGCUGAAAAUUUGAUAGGAGGAGCAGCUCUGGAUGGGGAAGCUGAUGUCAAAAUUUCAGGUUGAUCGGAGCAAGGGAAGGUGGUGAACUGGUGGUCGGUAGCGGCGGCGGUCUGGAAUCUUCCGGCGGCCGGUUCGGAGACUUUCCGGCCGGUUCUCUGGGUGAUACCGGCGUCGUUGGAUCCGGGACGGAGAGAGCUUUCUGGGGAUAUAAAAUUCCGGUGGAGGACAGUCGGAAUUUUGGUCGGAAAUCGGGAAAAACAAGGCUGCCCGAUUUUAGGGUUUUGGUUUUUAGGGUUUAGAAAAAAUAUGGUUGGCUCUAGGGUUAGAACAAAGUGCAUGAUAACGUGAUGAAGGAUAAAGUGUAGAGACAAAGAGAUAGCAAGAGAAUCAUCAUCUUAUUCAUUGAUAGGAGCCCUUUAUAUAGGGAAUUACACAAUACCAAUAUGGUAAGGAUAUGAAUACAUAGAUCUAGUCUAACUACAUGUCCUAUUGGCAUAAAGCCAAGGCACACAUAGAGAAUAUCCUAGAACAUGUACUUAUUUCUAGAGUUGAUGCAGCUAGUAUGUCUGUGGAAGCAAGUACUUAAUCCCUUAUGUGAGACUCAUGGCCAUAGAAGUACUGCACUUUUCGACCAUUCAGAGCUUGUAAUGGUCUUGCAUUCGUUUCUGCGGACUGCAUUCAAAUGACAAUAUGAAGUAAACAGAAAUACUGAGAAGAAAAAUUAAAGAACAGAAAAUGAAGGAAAAAGAAAUGAUCAAAUCGCUAUAACUUAACAAAGUUAGGCUACUUACGUCAUCCACGGCUUCUCGAAGCAACUCCACUUGCUCUCUUGAUACAGUAGUUAACUGAUGAUCACAACACCAGAUAAUACUAAGAUUUUGCUCCGGAGUUAAUUAACAAGAUUUUACAAAUCGAUGAUGAAGAUGUUAGUACCUCUUUGUCUACGAUCCAAGUUACUCCUUCAGUGCAAGGAGGUACAGUGAGUGAGCCUUUGUACUUGUAAAAAUUUGCGCUACCCUUCCUCACAUUUCUUGGAUCAACCACCCCUAUGUGUCUCUCUUCCUUUACAUUAAUCAAGCUCUUGAUAUCUUUGCUUACCUGAAAGUUAAUUAAACAACAAUAGAAGAGACUGAAGAUCUUUAAAAACAACCACAUCAUUUUGAGGUCAACAAGACGAACUAAGUGAGCUUAGCGCAGUACAUAACACCAAGAUAUUGGGGCUUUUACCUCGGAGAGAAACUUGUCAGGCUUGCCAAUUUUGUAGAGGUAUGCUAACACAGCUAUGUUGUUUUCGACAUUUGCAUCAGGAAUGAGGUGAACCAUAUGAAGCUCCAGGUCAAAUCUUUUACCGUUAAUUGUAUGCUCAGAUGGUGAGUGCCAGUGGCCUUGAAUUAGCCAGUAAUCUGUGCCAUUAAUCUCCACGGAUCCAGCAUCACCUAGCUUCCACUGGAUCUGUUUCACUCGUAAGUUAAUACAAGAUAGAAGUGGCUUAGUUCACAGUCACGUAAAAAAAAAAAAUUAAGCAAUUGAAAUGUGAAGACACUGUUUCACUCGUAUAGUAAGAUAACGAGACACAAUGCCCGCGCUUUGCUGCGGGUGAACCGACCUAAAUUCAAGGAAACAGGAGGACAUAAUGGUAAUUUUGCAGGGUUUCAGACUGCAUGGCAGUGUUGUAAAUAAUCAAAAACUGAGAUGACAGAAUCAUAAAUCGCUGACCACACAGACUAAUGACAGUUCCGUAAAUAAAAUAAAAACAGGGAUAAAACCAUAAUUUAGGCGGUGAGGACAGAAACGUCAUUUAAUCAUCCCAGCUAGGUACUGCUACAGUAAUUGAUGUUUUCCCAACUCUCAAAUAGGAUAUUGUAAAUGACUUCAGUGUGCCAAUUCUUCCUUACCGAAAUGUCAUGGCCCCUAUUCCUGAUUGUUGCAUUUGAAGGCUUGUACUUGAGCUUCACCUCUCCUUUGUUGGGGCGUACUUGCACGAUCUCACUACGCAAAUCUAUUGGAGAUUGCAUUGUCCCAUUUUUACAUGCUGCCCAGUCUUCCCUAAGAUCUCCCCAAUGCUCUGGUCCUUUCCCACUAUCUUUCAGAUAAUCAAAUUCCGUUUCGUCCUCUGCAAGAACAAUUCUUAAUUAACAUCAGUAAUCAUAAGUGAAAAGCAAACAAUAUCAACGUUAAGAAAUACUAAGCUAGCUGUUAGUGACUCUUUUGAAUAUUACCAACUUCUUGAGCUGUAAUAGGUGUUGGGUGCAAAAUUUGAAGAAGCAGCAGCAGCAGAAACAAAGAAGUGGAUAUGGACUUGCUAUGAUUCAUCAUCAUUAUCAGCAAAAAGUGCGACUUUGUUUUUGCAACAUAUUCGUAACGUGCCAAGAGCUUAUAUAUAUAGGUAAUAUCCAUGAUGUUGAUUGACUUGAUCAAAUUCGUACAAAGAUAACGAAGUUGAUAUUCAACUUAUGUUGCACGGACACUCCACCUAAGGUGGACGUCGACACGGUGCCGGACACGGCAAAAUACGUGUCUGACACGCCACGUGGCGUGUCAUAAAAUGUUGGCUAGCGAAUAUGGAUAAAUUAUUCAACAUAAAUCUAGUCAAACUCAUUUAUAAAAUAAAUUAUAAAUUGGCGGUAGGCGAGCGAUAACCCGCAGUCUAGAACCUGGACAGCCUAGGCUAGGAUUAGGCAGGGAUUAGGCGAUUUGUAUUUUUUAAGAUUUAUUAAUUAAAAAUAUAUAUUUUGUGCAAUUUAAUAUUUGAAAACGGUGAAAUAUGGAUAAAUUAUUCAACAUAAAUCUAGUCAAGCCUAUUUAUAAAAUAAAUUAUAAAUUGACGGUAGGCGGGCAAUAACCCGCAGCCUAGAGCUUGGAUAGCCUAGGCGAGAACUAGGCGAUUUGUAUUUUUUAAGAUUUAUUAAUUGAAAAAAUAUAUUUUAUGUAAUAUAAUAUUUGAAAACGGUCAAAUAUGAAUAAAUUAUUCAACAUAAAUUUAGUAAAACCCAUUUAAAAAAUAAAUUAUAGCUAAAAUUUAGCAUAAUUUCCUGUAAAAGUGAGCAACAACAACAAUAAACAUAUACACUUCUAAUUUUAAACACACCAUUAGCUCUUAUACUCUCAUACUCCCCACAAUACAAUAAUCCCACCACAAAAAGAAAACAAAAUUAGCAGGAGAGCUUAGCAGCCUAAGCGGUGUCUAGGCGGGCCAGGCGGUAUUUAGGCGGGCUAGGCGGCCGCCUACAGCCUGACACAAAGGCCUGAAAGAAAAGUGAGGCUGCUUGUUGCAGCCUAGAGCCUAGACGGGACCUUUUAGAAGCUUGAUUCUAGCUAAUUGCACCGACAUAGUUAGACUUCUCUUAGUUCUCUAGACCAUGCUAGAUCACUUAGCUAGCUCUAGUUGAUUACACAUGUUUCGUUUCAUGAUCAUUCGAUUAAUCUGGCUAGCUACCCCUUGAUUUCUUAGCUCUAGUAGGAUCUAGAAACUUCAAUGUUCCAACAAUAGCAAUUGUCAAACCUCCGAUGUCAACUACAAGAAGUAAUUUUAAUUCUUCACAUACAAUUUAUUAUAAUUCAUUAACUUGAUAUACAUUGUCAACAAAAGUUAGGAAAUAUUUAAGUUCUCCAUUAUCUAAUUCAUGUGAGAGUCAAAUUUUGUUGCAGCCAUCUUUUCCCAGACCGUACAAAUCAUGGAUUUUGUCCGCAUCCUUCGUAGAAGGAUUAUAUCUUAGAUCAUGUACGGAAUAGGACAAAAUACGUGAGCAUUAGAAUACCACAUGAUUAAUUUCAAUUUAGGAAGAUAGUUAAGUUCUCUUAACCACUCUUCUGACUUUAAUCUAUUAGAUGAUCGUUUUUUUCUUUUUCUUUUUUUUUUGAACUUAAAGACAAUUUUUUCAUUAAAAUCAAGUAGAGGGUACAAAACGAAUCGAUCCGUUGCCAUGCGCAUAGAGGACAAACAAGAUUAUCUGAUUCGUAUGAGGAUUAUAUUCUCAGUACAAAUUGAGGUUCACAAGGAGCCUAUAAUCUAAUAUCAAAUAGAUCAUAGGCGAAAGUUUCUAACUAAACUAGAGCAAGAAAAUAAAGCUCCCCUAUGUGAAAAGCAUGGACCAAGAGCAAUUGUUCCACAAUUGAAAAACAAAGUCAAAAACUGAAAUAGAAGAAAUAGUAGAGCUUCACAGAACCUUCUUGCCUUCACACUAGGGCUUAGGGGCACUGCAGGUAGAGUCAGAGAAGGAGUCAGGUCCUCCUGGUUAACACUUCUUCUCGUUUUCGAAUUCUUGGAACCAAAGGGACGUCCUCUCUUCUUCUUCUUGGCUUCAGCUGCACCCAGAGUCAUCUCGGUUAGAUCUGGUGUGAGGCCAAGUACCUUAGCCGAAAGAGUAGCAAGGAAGUCAGGUUGUUUCAUCCUCUUGGUAUGCACAUGAGUUUCAUGUGAUUGCAGUAAGUCUAUCAAUACCUUCAGCUUCUUGGGAAAGGUCUCAGGUGAUGAAGAUCUGCCUCGUUUGCGCCCUUCUCCAACAAUCAAGGCAUCCUCAAGAUCACGUUCCGAUGCAUUUUGGUCAGAAGUUUGAUCAGGAUCAUUCACAGGUAUAAGAGCUAGGGCAUCAUCUUCAGGUUCAUGUGUCGGCUUCUUUAGAAUGGUAGGGCGCUUAUGCAUCUUCUCUUUCUUUUGAUCAAAGACCGAGGUAGCAAUUGGUGAAGAAGGCGAUACCGAACCCUGGAAUUUGAAAGCUCCAUGCACCAGAGCUUUGGAUGCAAAGCUAAUCACAGAGGCAAGGUUUGGCAUGAUGUCUGCAUUAGAAUGACCUACAGUAUUGUAACCAGAGUUUGCUCGGCAUUUUCCAUUUUCAUGGAACACCAAGCAUCACAAAUACUCAGACAAUUUUCAAAGUAAAAAUCAAUCUCUUCCUCAGCAUCCGUUGCUAACUUGAUGAUUUUAGAGUUAAGGAUAGGAUCAGAGAGUUUCUUCUCAACCCUAACCCUAACCCUAACCCUAACCCUAACCUUCUUUGUUCUUGUGAAAAGCUUGUCAUCAUAUUCGAUAUAAUGACCAGGAACAGACGCAAUACCAAGAAAAUUCUCAGGGAUUUCAUACUUAGGUGGUAUGUUUUGAAUACGUACCUAAAAGAAUAAAGAGUCCAUGGCGAAGCUCUUGAUUGAUUUGACGUCAUCAUAUGGUUGGAUCAGAAUCGGCACCUGCUGGUACCACCAAGGUCCUCCUCGGAGAACUUUGUUCAUGUCCUUGAUGAGAUCAAAGCUGAUGAUAAAGAUAUUAUUCGGACGUUCCUAGAUCUGAAAUUUUCGCUCCAGGAUCCAUACCCUUCCACAGAACUGCUUGAGUUCCAUCAAGCUUGGAGGGGUUGAGUUUAGCGGCUUCGUUAUCAAGAAGGACUGCGUAACACCUCUUUUAGGAGCAGAGAUGCGGUGAGAGAGAUCCAUAACCUUUGAAUUUGCAAGAGCCAAGGACGCAGCAAAGGACUUGGUGACAUCCUUGAUUGAUGCAGAUUUGAUCGACGACGAGGAGGCAAAAGAUUUGCGCCAAUUAUGCAAAGAGGUUGCAGAGGACAAGUGAUUUGGUGUUGGUGAUGGAGAAGAGGAGGGGAGGAUGAUUUCGGGAAAUUGAAAGCCAUGGAUGUAGUGAGAUUUGGUGAUGGACAGGCGGCAAUAUUUGGAGGAGUAGGGUUAGGGUUUGGGGAGCGCAGCAACGCUCUUAGAGUUUGGGAGAUAGGCGUGUUCUCUAUUACGUGCCAUUACAAUAAUUUUUUGUGAAAAGAAAAAACAUACCUAUUAUAACAACUUUACAAUAGUCUCCUCGCACAAGAAAAAGACUACCAAAGAGAAAUUUCCUAUGCUUUUACUUGGUUUCAUGGAAAAAAAAUUGCCUAUUAUAACUGGACUUAGAAUCUAUUAGAUGAUUGUUUAAUUAAAAGGAAACACAGUUUAAGCAUUGACUUUUAGAAUUUUUUUGUAAAAUUGCAAAUUGCAAAGAUUGAGACAGCUAAGUUUUUUUUUUUUUUAAUACAAGGGCUAAACGGUAGCCCUCACGCCAUAAUCAUUAAUGAAACCUCAGAAUACAAGGGGGGACGUUGUGCCUAAACCCCAUACUGUAAGAAUACCCUAAAUUAACAUUAGGCAUGUCUACAAAAUCUAUGUAUUCUAACAAGCAACAUUUAGUAAAAAAUGCAUCAUUAGCUAUUCCAUUUGCUUUACAAUUUUGGCGACAUACAUGAAAAAUACCGCUCAUGUAGAGCCAUAGCCAUAAGUUAUAAUAUCUAUCAGUUUUCCGGCUCUGAUGCCACUGGGAAUAACCAGUGACCCCAAGAUUCAUCUUGUCACUAGGAGGCAACAACCAUUUGAUAAAACAAGGAACUCGCCACCUUAUCAAGACAAACAUGGUAUACAACGUGCGCUUUCCAAGACAUAACCCACCAGUAUCCAAAAUCACUAGAAAACAAUAAACCAAAAACCAAAAGGAGCACCUACUACUACUAGGGCGUAGCCCUCUAUCAGCUAAGUUUCUUAGAACUCCUAAUAAUCGGGAGACCAAAAGAAAGAAAAGAAAAAAAAAACGAGAAAAACAAACAAUAUAUGUAUUUAUAAAUUAGUAUUGGCGGCUUCUUGUCCAUAUUUUUUUAUUGUGUUAUGUUCAUUUUUAAUUAAUGUCAUCAUGUUGUUUCAAGCUUCUGUUUUAUUUAUCUAUUUAAUUAUAGGGUAGUGCUAUAGGGCCUUAAUAAGGAGAAAUUUUUAGAUGCUACAGGAGGACCACAUGGCAGUAUGACGUGGUCAUACAUUCCAAUCAAAUAUUGACACAUGAAUUUAUUACAACUAAAAUAUAAACUAAAGUUUUCUAUUUUUUAUGAAAUGACCUUCAUGGGUCUUUGUUGAGUUUGGACUAGGGUUUAGAGUUUAGGGUUUCGAGUUUAGGUUUAGGGUGUUGAGAUAUCAAUCCCACAUCGGGAAAAAUAGGACAUUGCCUAUGAUUUAUAAGGGUUUGGGCCACUCCAUCCGUUGCCAAUUAGUUUUGAAUGUGAAACUCAGACUACUUUAUCAUGGGGGUUAGGGUUUUGGGUCUAAGAUUUAGGGUCUAGGGUUUAUAGUUUAGGGUUUAAAAAGCAACAAACCCAAAAUUGACAUUGACAAAAUAGCUGAUGUAAUUUUUUCUUAAUAAAAUUCAUUUGUCAAUAUUUGAUUGGAAUGUGGUUUCUUAAUAAAAUUCAUUUGUCAAUAUUUGAUUAGAAUGUAGGACCACGUCAUACUGCCACAUGGUUCUCCAGUAGCGAAAAGCCUAAGAUUUAUAGUUUUAAUCCUAUAUGGCAUAUCAUGUCACAUAGACACAUCAUCAAUUUAAUAAAUCAUGUCAUUUCAUUCUUAGGUAAAAAUAUAAUCUUAACUUUAAUAAUUAAUGGACGUUACAUAUUAAUAUAGAAUAUUUUCUUACCUUUUUAAUAUGGAUGCGUAUAUACCAAAUUUAGUUAAUUCGUGAAUAAUAAUGACCAAGUUAAUAAUCAUACCAAAUUAGGAUUUUAUAUCAUAAAUCAAUUUCGUAAAUUUAUUAAAAAAAAUUCUAUCUUUGUGAAUCGAAAUUUAGUUCCAUUUUAAUAUUUUAUUUUUGUAAUUUAAAAUUAUGAUAUUUAUAUAUAAGCCAUUCUGUAUCGAAUUUUUAAAAUAAAAUAAAAAAUAGAAAAAUCUCAAUCAAAUUUCUUUUAGAUGAUUAUGUAUAUAUACUUUAUUUUAGACAAAUUAUAUAUAUAUUUGUAAAAAAAAUAACCUGGACGAAAUUGUUUUUCUUGGACAAAUUAUAUAUGUGUGUGUCUAUAUAUAUUAUAUAUUUCAUAAGAAUUCGUGUUUUUGAACAAGUAUAUUCUUAAAAAUAUAUAUAUAUAUAUAUAUUCACACUAUCAGGAAUGAUAUGAAGCGGACGUCCGUCCGUUCUCCACCCUCCGGUGCCGGCGACGGCGCGCCUCCACCCCAGAACACUCCAGCAGCGUCCCCGACCACUUUCCCUCCCCGGCGAGUCCAUUCUUUUCCGGUUUUCCGGCGAGAUCACCCAAAACUUCAAACAAAGUCGAUCUCGCCGGAAACUGGAAAAAAUGGACUCGCCGGGGAGGGGAAGUGGUCGGGGACACUGUUGGAGUGUUCUGGGGUGGAGACGUGCCGUCUCCGGCGCCGAAGGAUGGAGAACGAACGGACGGACGUCCGCACUUUAAGCCGAGUAACGGACGUCCGCACUUUAAGCCGAGUACGGACGUCCGCACUUUAAGCCGAGUACGGACGUCCGCUCUACAUCCUUUCUGUUCACACUAUAUGUUACGUUCAAUAUAUAUAUUCACACUAUAUGUUACGUUCAAUCUAAGCAUUAUAGUGAUGAAAAGAAAAAGAGAAAGAAAAUGCCAGAAAUAUAUAUUUUUUAAUCACAAAGAAAGACAAAUCAAUUUCUUCUCUUAAUAAAAAGACAAAAUAAUCUAGAAUCAUUAAAUUUGAAAGGAUAAGAUUGUAUUUUUGUUUAAAAAACGACAUGAUCGACAUAAUUAUAUUACAGAUAAGAUAAAAAAUUAUGGAAUAAAAGUCAUAAAUUUUAAGACUUUAUUAAGACCGAUAAUCAUUUUCUUUAAUUAUAUANNNNNNNNNNNNNNNNNNNNCACUAUAUGUUACGUUCAAUCUAAGCAUUAUAGUGAUGAAAAGAAAAAGAGAAAGAAAAUGCCAGAAAUAUAUAUUUUUUAAUCACAAAAGAAAGACAAAUCAAUUUUCUUCUCUUAAUAAAAAGACAAAAUAAUCUAGAAUCAUUAAAUUUGAAAGGAUAAGAUUGUAUUUUUGUUUAAAAACGACAUGAUCGACAUAAUUAUAUACAGAUAAGAUAAAAAUUAUGAAUAAAAGUCAUAAAUUUUAGACUUUAUUAAGACCGAUAAUCAUUUUCUUUAAUUAUAUACAGAUACAUACAUGUAGUUAUGGAUGCUACAUGCAUGCGCGUGAAAUCGAUAAAGGAUGAAACAACCAAUAUAUUGUGCUAAGUUGUUCGAGUUUUAUUUUUUUUCAAUUUUCUAAGGUGGACCCCAACCUGCCUAAUGCCCACCACACCAGGUUCCGUCUAGCCCGCAUAGGCCCACUUCCCGUAUGUUUCACCCAUGUGAAUAUGGGCCGGGUCAAACCCACUUCCCUUGUGCUGAAAUCCAAUCUGAAAGUCUGGAGCCAGUUCUGGCAGCAAGUGCAUGCAGUUGCUCUUAAACUUGACCACUUUCUUUCUGUCAAUCAUGUCAGCGUGGGUUCAAAAUUAUCUUGUGUAAAAGCUCCUGUUUGGUGAUACAAGAACGGUUCAAAUAUCGACUAAAUCGAGCAAGGAAAUGAAUCGUGUUGAAGAGUUUAGGAAGGUUGCCGAUCAUUUUGGUGCAGGUGUGGCUGGAGUAGAAAUGGCAUGGGAUCGAGUUCCAGUUACUUGACCAUGACAAGAAACAGCAACACUAUCUUCUUUAACGGAUCGGAGCAAACUUGACUAUGUGAUGUCUUAAUAUAUAAUGGGCUUUAAUUCUGAUUAUGUUGAAAUUCAGAUCCUAAUCAAACUAGGUAAAAAUGCAAAAAAAAAAAGAAGAAGAAGAAGAUAAGUUUCCGAGAUUCAAAAGGAUAUAUAGUUUCCCACAUUCAAAACGGAAAGUUUUUGUAUCAAAACUGGAAUACCCUAACGUAGUCACCAAGCUAUCGUAGUGCGUCAUAAACAAGGAAAAGAGGAAAGUUCUUGUAUGAAAACUGGAAUUACCCUUAACAUGGACACCAAGCUACCGUAGUCCGCCAAGGAAUAGGAAUUAAAGUUUCACAUAGUCCGUCUAGGAAAAGGAAAGUCUCCCAAUCAUAUAUAAGAGUGGCAUCACUCCAGUAUCCCACUCAGAAACUUCGCGGAUCCACAGAUCAACCAUGGCUCUUCUGCAACGACGUUGCAACAUGCGCUCUUUGUCUUUACCCCUCAAACAAUGCCGCCCGCUUCUCUCUCUCAAAACCAUCCCUCGCCCCGCCGUAACGGCCACCGCCACACCCAUCUUGGCCUCCGACCUCGAACGACUCCAAGUCUUGGGCCAGGGCAGCGGUGGCGUCGUCUACAAGGUCCUUCACAAACCCACCUCCACCACUUACGCUCUCAAACGACUCAACUCCUCCUCCGAUAACAACACCACAGUUGAGAGCGAACUCGACGUCCUCCGCCGCACCACCGGCUCUCCCCACGUCGUGCACUGCCACGCAGUCUUUGAGGAGCCCUUCGGAAACUCCUCGGUUCUCAUGGAGUACAUGGAGUCUGGUUCUCUUGAAACCUUGCUCAAGUCCCAAGGUCCUUUCUCCGAAGAAAACCUAGCCCCCAUCGCAAGGCAAGUCCUCCAAGGCCUUGACUACCUUCACAACACUCACAAGAUCGUUCAUGGCGAUAUAAAGCCCGGUAAUCUGUUAAUGAACGACAAGAAUGAGGUCAAGAUCGCCGACUUUGGGUGCAGUUCCGACGAGUCUUGUAGAUCAUCGACCAUGGGGACUUGUGCUUAUAUGAGUCCGGAGGGGCUUAACCGGGACAUGUAUGGUGGAUCUUGCAGUGGCUAUGCUAGGGAUAUAUGGAGCUUUGGGGUGUUAGGAUUCCCGGGAUCAAACCCAUGGGAAGACCAUUAGAGAGAAGGAAAUGAAAGCUACAAGCUAAGAAAUAAGAAAUAAACUAAGAAAAUAAACUUCAAUAUACUUCAAUACCAUUACAAGCAUCCUAGAUUGCCUUAUAUAGUAGAAGAAUAAACCCUAAAAACCCAUGUAAGAGACAAACCGAGUCCAUUAACCCGUUACAUCAGAAACAAAAAUUUCUAAGAGGCCCAACCCAAGUAUGAAGCCCAUCUAAAUAGAUAGAAUCAUAACAUUUCCACCCGCUCAAAGAAUAGGCUUAACCUCAAGCCUGGAAGCUUCUUUCAGAAUUUGUCUAGUAGUCCAACAGCUGUCAUUGUACUGAGAAAUUAGAUGCUUCAUACCAGUAUUCUUAGCAAUACAUCUUGAAGGCUGAUCAUUGAUAUAUCUAUAAAUCUCAAUAUCAAACAGAGCAAACCAUGCAGCAAGGGUAUCCAUCACAUGUGUGAGUGACAUCAACAGUACACCAAUAAUCAGAAAGGUAUUAAGUGAAGUAACAAGAGCAUAAUCAACCACACUGAUCAGCAGGGAGGCCAUUCUAUUGUCAAACGCAGCAGCAUUUGUGUUCAACAUUCCCAAGAUAGUGGCGUAAAAACAAUGAAGAGUAGCAAGGCUAUUGUCACCAAGACCCUGGAAUAAGAUGUCAAGAUUAUCAUCUGCAUAUGUGGAGAAAUCAAGGUCCUGGAAAAUGACAUUGAUAAACAAAGGCUAUUCAUUUUCUUUUGAUGCCAAAUCUGCCUCUUCCCAAGAAAUGUUUGCAAAUGCAGCCCAUAUUUCAUUGGUCUCUGUAAGGUUGCUAUUGUUACUACACUUUAUCUCAACAAGUCUUGCAAUUUUCUCAAACUCUUGCUUAUGAUCAGUAAAGUGCUGACAAACUGAGAUCAACACAAAAACAAUUAUAGCAGAACAUUUUUGGUGUUUAUGCUCAAGCUGGACUAGCUCAAUGGAUAGAAAGUUUGCAUGCAAUUCAUGAAUGAUUGCACUUCCAAUAGAUAAACAUAUAUUCUCCCACAUAUUUCCAAGCUCAUCAUCAGGUUUCAUUUGUCCCUUCAUGUCAAAAACUUUGAGCAAAAAAUAUAAUGAAAUCAGGAACACUCUUUCAAGCAACCUCUUAAAUGAAUCAAUAGCUUCCUUGCCAUGACCACGUGGCCCAAAAAUUAGACCUAUGUUCCAAACACAAUUAUACAUCUUGUAUGCAUGCUUCCAAGUUCCAGAGUGAGAAUAAAUAUCAACAAGAGUACUCGUAACGGAUCCAAUUAACCCAGAUAUAUCGUCAUGAAGCAAAUACCCAGCAUUCAAAGUAUAAUAAAUCAUGACAUAGAGCUCGACCACAUCACAUAAUACCUUAUCAAGAGCUGCUGGAAAAUAUUGAUGACUGAAAAUGAUGGUAGUGUAUACCUGAGAGACUGAGGUUUGGAUCACUUGGCUAAUAUCUGCCAAUACUUGUCUGCAAGAGGAUGGCGGCUCGAUUGCUAUCUCACAAUUACCAAGUUCAAAGAAAAGAAUGAACCACAACAACAGCUGUGAUCGAGAAUGGGUGCCAGUGGAGCAUACUGUCCUCAGAAGAAGAUAGUCUCUUAUCAAUUUCAGCCUUAACUUUUGAUUUCCAUUUCUCCAACAUUCCCACCAACACCUUUCCAGAAUUCUUUUGCAUUUCAUCAUAUUUGUCUCUAGCAAACAAACUCUCUACAUCAAUAUUAUUAUCAUCCAAAAGGCUAUUAUCAGUAAUCAUGAUAGAGUCCAAAGAGUGAUUAAUUAUAUCAAAUAGUACCUCUUUUGCCUUAUCAAAAUGACCUGACUCGAAAAACUGAUUCACCAACUCUUCUUUGCAAAAAACAUACUUGAAUCAGACCAUGUUGCUCAGUGUCAGAAUCAUAUGGCACAUUCAAAAAUUCCUCGAAAAGCUUAAUUACCUCCAUGUGGUAGCCAAACAGCUUGUCAUUCAAUUUAUUUCUAAAGCACUGAACAAUUUCAACAGUACCAUUUGCCAACAAAUCAUUUGACAAGCUUGAAGCAAGUGUUAUGGCGCAUGACACAAUUUUCUUCCUCAUGCUGACAAUCAUGUCUGAGGUACCUGCUUCCUUCAACUUGUCCUGAGCAGCAGCCAAACACCGCAACUUCAUACGGUAUUUAUGAAAAUUCACGGGCAACUCUUUCUCCAUUUUAUAUUCAGAGAAAGUAAUCGGAAACUCAAAGCAAAUUUUGUAGGUAGCACAUAGAUCAUCAACUUGGAAGUCAUCAGGAGGCCUAGUGCAGUCCUUAAUAUGCUCAUUAACAAUUUUGAUUGCUUCCUUUGAAUCAAGAUCUUUAGGAAUCAGAGAAGACUUGUGGCUGCAAACAUCCAAUUGACGGCUAGCUUCUAAGUCAUGCAUAUAAGAAGAGACUAUAGUGCCUCUACUGAAAUGAGUUGACUGGGGCAUGUUCAAGUUUUCGUUGAAAACAGGUUGGUUGACAUCAUUUCUGAACCAUCAAAUCCAUCAGUAUGCUCCUUGUCUGGUGGAUCAACUUCAUCAUCUCUCCCAUAUUCUGAAGUCAUUUCAUCAUGCUUAGCAGUAACACUCUUAGUCUCCUUCAACUCUCUAUCAUCCUGGAGUCUACCAAUCAAUUUUACUGUAACAACAGGCCCUUCAGUACUUUGAAUUGCAUCCUCCCUACUUCCAAAGCUAGCACCCAUCAUAUUACUCACAUGAUUCAAUUUAUCAGUCAUGCAAGUAGAAAUACCAUCCUCACAAUUGCUUCCAGAUACCACAACAACAUUAAUAUCAUUAUUCAAACUCAAAAUCUCACCAGUAGAUGUUGAAAUAUCAGAUGCCACAGGUUUAGUGCUUAUUUCACUAAUGAAACCAACUUCAUGUUGCCACAAAUUCAACCCCGUAUUAGUAGAGAUUCUUACCGGAUUACCAUCAAUGGUAGCCGCAAUAAGGUCAACUGAUGUGGGCGGUAGAGACCCAGACUUCAGACACAUAUCAGCUUGGCUUCCAUCAUUGGCAGCAAUGAGUGAUGACGAACCCCCAGUUGUGGCCGGAAUCGACUCAGGUAUUGACGACUGCGGCGGAGAGACAAAUUUUUGUGGAUUAUCAACUCGCCUUGCCGGAGAUUGCCAUGAACCCAUUAACAACCGUAGCUCCUCCUUGAAUUCCGACAUGAAGGUAUCCAUUGAUCUCUUCAAGGAUUCUCGCAUCUCACUCAACUUAUCAUUUGUGCGUUCUUUGUGUGAGACUUUGCUGUCGUUUCGGUGACAAUAGUUUCCCACUCCCCUUGAGCUUGACCAUAGUCUCUGGUUGUUCCACAUAUGAGCCAUGGAAUCUCAGACCGGUCUUCACAUCUUGUGUGAUUGCACCGAGCAGGCGCUGAAAUUUGGGCUUGCGCAUCAAGAGCUGAUAGCGCUUCUGGGAGUUGCAGGUCUUGCGAGGCAGGACAGUUCCUAGCCUAGAUCGGCUGGGCUUCUUCACUCCUCCAGUGGCCGCAGUCGACUAUAGAGCGACUUGUUUGCAAUGAGCCCUCCACAGAUGAGAGUGAACCACCAAAGGUUCCAGUGAACUGUUUGGUGAAAUUGGAGGUCGAAUCUGGAGAUUCGAGUUAGGAUGAGGUGUGUAGUAAGAAGGGAUUGAUGGAAUUUGAGGAGUGGUGGUGGUGAGUCGCUGUGGAGUAAGAGAAUGAGUAGGUUGCAUGGGAGCAAUAGAAUGAGUAGGUUGCAUGUGAGGGGAAUGGUAUUGUGCCUGAGUUUGAGACGCACAAGGGAAUCGGAGAGGAAGCAAGUGCCCAUUAAUUAGGGUUGCAGAGUGCUGCGGUGGUGGGUUAGAGUGUGGUUGUGUGAAAUGGUAAGGUGGUGGUGAAUAAUAGUUGUUCUGCGGUGGUGGGUAAAGGUUUGGUUGAGUGAAAUGGUGUGGUGGUGGGUAAGAGUUUGGGUGUGUGAAAUUGGUCACUGAAUGAUAAGAGGCUCCGACGGGAGAGUGAUUGUAGCAAUUGCCGGCAAUCUCUCCGCCGUAUCCCGCCGGAAUCAGGCCCAGAUGAGGGCUCUGAUACCACUUGUUAGGAUUCCCGGGAUCAAACCCAUGGGAAGCCAUUAGAGAGAAGGAAAUGAAAGCUACAGCUAAGAAAUAAGAAAUAAACUAAGAAAAUAAACUUCAAUAUACUUCGAUACCAUUACAAGCAUCCUAGAUUGUCUUAUAUAGUAGAAGAAUAAACCCUAAAAACCCAUGUAAGAGACAACCCGAGUCCAUUAACCCGUUACAUCAGAAACAAAUAUUUCUAAGAGGCCCAACCCAAAUAUGAAGCCCAUCUAAAUAGAUAGAAUCAUAACAUGGGGUGACUCUAAUGGAGCUAUACAUGUGUCACUACCCUUUGCUUCUUAAAGGUCAGAGCAAAGAUCGGACCUCCCUUAUGAUGACUAUCUGUUUUGGAGAGGCACCGUGCUUGCCGGAGGGUGCGUCGGAAGACUUCCGGAGCUUUAUUGAGUGCUGCAUGCACAAGGACGCCGCCAAGAGGUGGACAGCGGCUCAGCUCUUGACCCACCCAUUCGUCUGCAAGGUUCAAUCCGAGGAGUGCAAACCUAGUUUGGUGAACAAGAAACGCAAACGAGACGAUAAUGAUGAUGGUGAUGAUGGUGACGUGUGAAGUGAGAGAUCUCAAAAAGUAGUCAAGCUAGGUUGAACUAAGUCAGUUAGCACUUCAUGUAUUACGAUCUUCUCUGUAAAAAUUGAGAAAAUCGACUCUUUGUAAGUAUCUAACUCCUUCUGAUUUGUAUAUGAAGGCCAAAAUGGUGGUCACUAUUGCUCUGAACAAAUCGGAAGUUUAAUGUUUCAUGUGUUUUUUUUCUAAGAAAUUAUAUUGUUUUGAUAUGCAAACCAAACUUGUUCAACCAGAUGAUGAUGGUGAUGAGGGCAGUAAGAGAUGUCAAAAAUGAAUAAAGGUUUAGUUAAAAGUUCAUGAGUUAUUAAUCAAGGUUGAAGUUUGUCAAAAAAAAAAAAAAAAAAAAAAAAUUCAAGGUUGAAGAUAAUUUGAAUCUUUGUAAAUAUUGAGAAGAAGAAGAGCUGUGUAUAUAUAUACAUGUAUCAAUGACAUAAUGAUGCACAAUAGCAUCAUUUGUGUUUCAAGUUUCGUCUCUUUUGAGCAAAUAUUAAUCUCAGUGCAAUCCAAACCUGUUAAAACAAAAAGGGAAAAUUGCAAGGAUGAGCGAACAGAGAGAUCUGAAACCUAAAAGUUGUACUAUGAUAAUAGUACAUAUAUUACAAGGUGAAUUUGAUGUUUGAAGUCUCCACUUGUCAUUUCAGUAUAAAGACAACUAGAAACGACCAACAGAGCCUAGAAGGAAGCACAGCACAAUUAUGAACACAGUACAAUAUAGUGAGUUUCUAACAACAAUGCCAAUUAUGUAACAAACUCUAUUGCUGUCCGAAAUGCUUAAUGCCAUCGUUUGCCAGACUUCAGCGACGAAGUGCUGCUUCCAGCAAUGGAUUUCCUAGGACCUGACAUGAAUUUUACAAGGGAAACACCAGAAAAUGAGUAGAAACAAGAAAGUGAGUGGCAUCAACGUAAGGAAAAGAGUAAGAUUCCUUGAAUUAGGGUUUAUUUGCCGGGUGCUUUCUAGUUGAAAGCAGAGUCUGCGUCGCCGUGUGGUUCAUUUGCCGGCGAAAAAUCGAAGUGAAAAAUUAGGGUUUAAAGUGUGUGUGGGGUUUAUGGAUUUGCAGAAUAAAUUCAAAUAGGGCAGCUUUAUAUGUAAUAAUGUGCGCACGUUACCAAAUUAUUCUUAUUCGUUUUGCUAAUAUAUGCCAGGGUGUGAGGAUAACGGGAAAUUGAAAGAGAGUCUACCACGUGUCUGUCACGAUUUAUCUGUAUGAUUUUCUAGAUCUUGAUUAGGCGGCUCAAUGUCACGUGAUACGACUGCCCUAUGUUACUCUUUGUUAUUUGUUUCAAGACAUAUUCUAGACGCUUAUUAUGAUCAGAGUUUUAGACUCAAUUUUCCCACGUAUUGAGCAAUUUCAUCAAUUAAGGAAUAAUGACAGUUGCAUCAGUCUUUUAUCAAAAAUGAUUUCAUUCAUCAUCGUUACCAAACACAUUUUCUAGGAAUCUGAUUUUUUCCUUCUCGAUAAAAAUACAAAAAUAAUAUUUUUUCUAACAAAUUCAUUCCGUGAAUCAAACGAGUCCUUGUUCUGGUGAUACCCUAAUUUAUUCUCACAUAGUAUCAUCAAGCCACAUUGACAGUACAAAAUUAUUACAAAUGAUGAGUGGGACUAGGAGCAGGAGGUUUGAUGUUGCAGAUCACGUUUUCGCAAUGAUUUAGGCAAUUUCCAUUCUUUGGCUUAUCUGCCAUGAAAAAAACACAGUAAAUUAAGCAUGUGUAUUCUAUACAUACGUAUUUGCAUACAUACAUAUAAUAGAAUUAAGAACGGCAAAUAGGAAGGAGAUGUGUUGUAUAUAUGUACCAUUUCCAUGUUUCAGACACUGAUCAUAAGUGCAGCCAAGUUUGCAGUAGUAGUACUGGUGAUCAAGAUCCUGACGUGCUAGAGCGGCACCUGGGCAGCCAGCUAUACAUCUAAAGAAACAUGCCAUGGUUCCACCUCCACAUUUAUCAUAACAGGCUUGGAUGCAUUGGGAUUCCUCCAGCAUACCUGCAUUUACAUUUCCGAUGAAAAGAAUCACCAUCAUUGCAAUUAGAGAGACAAACUUCAUGGACUCCAUUGAUAUUUCUCUCUGAAUUUUCUUGAAGAAACUCAGGGUUGUAUGACUUGUAUCUGGAUGAAACACUUUCACCUGAAUAAACCAAGGACCCAUGAACGCCCUUUAAUACUACUUGUCCUCCACCAUUUAAGGUAGCUUUAUAAAAUAAAAUCAUAUAAAAGAUUUAUAACAUGAUUGGAGAAAAUUGAGCAAGCUAGAACGUACCAUGUAUCCGAUUAAUAAUUUGGUAAGAAGUCAUUCUACCUUAUUUUACCUUUAUAAAGGAUAUAACGUAUUUGGUUCGAUGCAUUGAUUAUGAAUUAGCUGUAUAUAUUGUGCAAUUCCUAUAUUGUGCCAUUAGCUAUUAAUUAGUGGCAGAACAAAACAAUAUUACAGAUGAACAGAAGCAUGCAUGUCACUGGAAAAAGAUGAGGAAAACAGAAACACAGCUAGAAAUUGAAGACGACCCAUUACUAUUUACUAAAAUGGGUUUUGUAAUAUAAAUAUCAGAAGAAGAGUGUCCUGCCGUGUCCGGUCGAUUCUGGGUCGCGCCGUGCCGGCCAAUCCGCCGGAGAAAGAUGAGCCGAGGGUCAGAAGAGCCCGAUAUCGAUGACGACGAGAGGGGGUCAGACCCACUUCCCUUAUGUUGAAAUCCAAUCUGGAAGUCUGGAGCCAGUUCUGGCAGCAAGUGCAUGCAGUUGCUCUUAAACUUUGACAACUUUCUUUUUGUCAAUCAUGGUAGUCUGGUUCCAAAUUAAUUAUCUUGUGUACAAGCUCCUGUUUAGUGAUAUAUAAAAGAACGGUUCAUAUAUCGACUGAGUCGAGCAAGGAAAUGAAUCAUGUUAAAGAGUUUAGGAAGGUUGCCGGCCGAUCAUUUUGGUGGUGCAGUGCAGGUGUGGCUGGAGUAAGAAACAGCAACACUAUCUUCUUUAACGGAUCGGAGCAAACAGUAGUAUAUAUUGAGCACUUAACUAUGUGAUGUCUUAAUGGGCUUUUGUUAAUUCUGAUGGGUAAAUCCCAAAAAUAAAAGUAAAAAUGAAACAAAACGAUAAGUUUCCCAUAUUCAGAAGGAUAUAUAGUUUCCCAGAUUCAAAAGGAUAUACCCACGUAGUCACCAAGCUAAUUAACAUAGUCCGUCAUAAACUGGGAAAAGAGGAAAGUUUUUGUAUCAAAACUGGAAUACCCUAACGUGGACACCAAGGUAAUUAACAUAGUCCGUCUAGGAAAAGGAAAGUUCCCCAAUCAUAUAUAAGAGUGGCAUCACUCCAGUAUCCCACUCACAAACAAUGGCUCUUCUCCAACGACGUCGCAGCACCCCCUCUUUGUCUUUAGACUUCACCCCCGUCAACCACCGCCCCCUUUUCUCUCUUCCAACCAUCCCUCGCCCCGCCAUACCCACCACCACCUUCACCUCCUCCUCCACCGCCACACCCAUCUUGGCCUCAGACCUCGAACGACUCCAAGUCUUGGGCCAUGGCAGCGGUGGCAUCGUCUACAAGGUCCUUCACAAGCCCACCUCCACCACUUACGCUCUCAAACGACUCACCUCCGACAACAACAACACUGAACUCGACGUCCUCCGCCGCACAACCGGCUCUCCCGACGUCGUGCACUGCCACGCCAUCUUUGAGGAGCCCUCGGGAGACGUGUCAGUUCUCAUGGAGUACAUGGACUCCGGUUCUCUUGAAACCUUGCUCAAGUCUCAAGGUCCCUUUUCCGAAGAAAAACUUGCCCCCAUCGCAAAACAAGUCCUCCACGGCCUUGACUACCUUCACAACACUCACAAGAUCGUUCAUGGGGAUAUCAAGCCCGCGAAUCUUUUAAUGAACAACAAGAACGAGGUCAAGAUCGCCGACUUUGGGUGCAGUUCCGACGAGUCUUGCAGUUCGUUGACCAUGGGGACUUGUGCUUAUAUGAGUCCGGAGGGGCUAAACCGGGAGAUGUAUGGUGGGUCUUGCAGUGGCUAUGCUAGGGAUAUUUGGAGCUUUGGGGUGACUCUAAUGGAGCUAUACAUGGGUUACUUCCCUUGGCUCCUCAAAGGUCAGAAAAAGGAUCUGCCCUCCCUUAUGUGGAUGUGCACCAUCUGUUUCGGAGAGGCACCGUGCUUGCCGGAGGGUGCGUCGGAAGACUUCCGGAGCUUUAUUGAGUGCUGCAUGCACAAGGACGCCACCAAGAGGUGGACAGCGGCUCAGCUCUUGACCCACCCCUUCGUCUGCAAGGUUCAAUCCGAGGAGUGCAAACCUAGCUUGGUGAACAAGAAACGCAAACGAGACGAUAAUGAUGAUGGUGAUGAUGGUGACGAGCAAAGUGAGAUCUCAAAAAGUAUUAGGCUAAACUAAGUCAGUUAGCACUUCAUGUGUUACGAUCUUCUCUGUAAAGAUUGAGAAAAUCGACUCUUUGUAAAUAUCUAACUCCUUCUGAUUUGUAUAUGAAGGCCAAAAUGGUGGUCAUUAUUGCUCUGAUAUGGAACAAAUCGGAAUUUUAAUGUUUCAUAGUGUUUUUUUUUUCGACAAAGGAAUGUUUCAUGUGUUGAUGAACUAAACGUGUAACAAAUUAGAAAUAUAUUGUUUUGAUAUGCAAACUAAACUUGUUCAACCAGAUGAUGAUGGUGAUGAGGGCAGUAAGAGAUGUCAAAAAUGAAUAAAGGUUUAGUUAAAAGUUCAUGAGUUAUUAAUCAAGGUUGAAGUUUGUCAAAAAAAAUCUUUGUAAAUAUUGAGAAGAAGAGCUGUGUAUAUAUACAUGUAUAAAUGACAUAAUGAUGCACAAUAGCAUCAUUUGUGUUUCAAGUUUCGUCUCUUUUGAGCAAAUCUUAAUCUCAGUGCAAUCCAAACCUGUUAAACAAAAAGGGAAAAUUGCAAGGAUGAGCGAAGAGAGAGAUCUGAAACCUAGAAGUUGUACUAUGAUAAUAGUACAUAUAUUACAAGGUGGUUUUGAUGUUUGAAGUCUCCACUUGUCAUUUCAGUAUAAAGACAACUAGAAACUACCAACAGAGCCUAGAAGGAAGCACAGCACAAUUAUGAACACAGUACAAUACAGUGAGUUUCUAACAACAAUGCCAAUUAUGUAACAAACUCUAUUGCUGUCUGAAAUGCUUAAUGCCAUCGUUUGCCAGACUUCAGCGACGAAGUGCUGCUUCCAGCAAUGGAUUUCCUAGGACCUGACAAGAAUUUUACAAAGGAAACACCAGAAAAUGAGUAGAAACUAGAAAGUGAGUGGCAUCAACGUAAGGAAAAGAGUAAGAUUCCUUGAAUUAGAGCUUCAGUGGUAAAAGUAGAUCAAUCACUGCAACUCUAAAGUUGUAUACAAGAUAGAGGAGGAUUCAAAUUGAUACUUACUUGGCAAAACCUUUGACGAGCUUUUAACCAGUGAUGAACGAGUAACUUUUGUUUCCACAAACUUGGGUGUUGGCUUUGGAAGUUUAGAUAUUGGCGCAAACCUUGAAAUCAAAUUCAUUUAAAAGUAACAUUAGAUUCAUAGGAUCUCAGGGAGCUUAAUUACGAGAAAAGUCCAAAAAAAAAAUGUCAUUAUUAGCAUAAAAUGAAAUGAGAUUGAGAAACCCACCUUACACUCGGAUGGGAUGGUGUCUUCUCGCCUAGAGCAUUCUGAGCUUGAGUUGUCUUGGCUACUGAAAUUUCAGUUGUUCUGCUUUCUGUUGGUUUUGUAACUUCAGGAAAAAGGGUAAACUCCACGGCAGAACUGGAUAGUGAACCAUCGGUUUCUGUUCCCAUUGAUAGACCACCAUCAGAUAUGUCGCUCAAUCUCUCCCCAGCGUCUUCAUCACCAAAGCCCAAGAGCUCAAAGUCUUCAUUAAAAUUUGGACUUGUAUCGCCUCCAAGCUUUGACGUCUGUGAAUCUUGCUUAUGAUGUCUAAAGUCAUCCAUUGACAGCUGAGAACCAACUUCAGAAUGCUUAUCAUCCGCCGCCUCUGAGAAACUGUCCCUAUAAGGACCCACUUUAUCAACUAGGCUUGAGGCUUUUUUCUGUCGAGGACUCCCAAUCGAAUGUCGAGGGCUCCCAAUCGAGUAUCUUCUCGGAGAGGAAGACGCAGAUCUUAGUGCACUCAUACCACGGUAUACCCCAUUACUAUUGCUCUUCAGUCUAUCAAUCUCCUCAUCUUUCUUGGCAACCGUCUCUUUGAGCGAUGCCACCUGCAAGAGUUAACAGAUGAUUAGACAAACAGAUUAAAUAUAUAUAUAUAUAUCCGGCCUGUAUAUAUAUAUAUAUAUAUCCCAACUUCUGGAUGCCAAAUUUGUCAACUAUGGUGUCAACUAUGGUAGGGAAAAGAAUGUGCUGAAAUGAGGCAUAGUUCAUGCUGUAACUAAUCGGUAAGUACUAAGUAGUUAAUUACCAAACUAAAGGAGAUAUCAACCAGCAUGAUCGCAUGCCCAGUUAGCAUAACAUUAACGUGGUCUACUCAGCAAGAAUUUGAAGGGUAAACCCAAAAACACUUCACUCCAAAGGAACUCCUAUAGACUCAUCAAUUGCUGACUGCAGCAUAUGUAUAAUUCUAAUAGAGACAAGUAAUAGCAUGCAGUUGGCAACACAAUCAUCCCAUAGGAUACAAAUAAAUAGCAGUAGUGCAAAGGCAGAGCCAAAAAUUGUAAAUGGGACUACUUGAUGAAAUUGCUACACUGAAAGGUGGUAGGAAACAUGGGUGGUAUUUUCCUUUUUUCCCGCAAAUAGUACCUGGGCUCAGCCCCACCCCCCGGAUCUUGACUGGUUAUAUAAGAGUAUAAUCUACUUCUAAGAAGAAAUGCCACAUUAUCAGAAUUUGAUUUAAAAAGGCAGGACUGAAUUAUAUAGAGGACACGUUCAAACAGAUAAAUCAGUACCUGUUCCAUAAGCUCUCUGACAUAUCUUCCUUCCUUAUUGCUUUUUGCAGCACCUAAUUCGACGCCAGAAACCCUCUCUGCAAACUUCAGCGUACUUAUAGUUUCAGAGAAUGAUUGAGCAUCAGGAUUAAGCUGGACAAACAUGAGCGUCUUUGCUUGACCCCCUACAGGUAUAGACAAGCAAUAAAUAAACCAUUUAUCUAUGGAAGAUAGAGAGUUAUGGAAUGGAACUUGAAAUGGAUUUGUUAGCACAAAUGUAAACAGCUGGACAAAUACCUAAGGAACUCUGGAGCACUUGAGUUAAUUUGCUAUUUCUAUAUGGAACAUGUGGAUUCUUUUGCGCAAGAGCAAAGAUAACAUCUCCAAGGGCUGACAAUGAUUUGUUAAUAUGUUGUGCCUCCCUCAGCCUAUCUCCAGUAGCUUCAGAGCGAUCCACUCGUUCACUGCCAGCAAGAUCCACUAAAUGUAGGCUACCGCGAAGAGCAGUGUCGGUCUUCAAGUCCACGCCACGAACAUGAACAGUCAGAACACUGCACCAAGAUUGAUUAUGAAACACAGCUUGAAAGACACACAUAAAAAAUUGAUGAGCAGAGUUUUUACAGAAAAUCCAACCUGUGAGAUCUGCUACUUCUUUCAUUUAGGGCAGUAGCGCCGACUGACCUAUUUGCCAAGCCAAUAUGCAUCAACUCUAGGACAUCUGCGGUUGAGUUAACAAGAUGCAUGCUUGCAUCAGGGACAGCUAACCCAUUUGGUUGGGUAGAAUUCCAGAUCCCAAGUGUGUGCAAGUUAAGGAAAAAAAAAAGUUUCGAUACCACAUAGAAAGGCAAGGAUCAAUAUCAUCACUAAGGAAGCAUAAAGAUGAACAAAGUUUAAACAACAAAAUUGCUACUACUGACUUGACACUGAACCAUAAAAACAACAUUCAGAUGCAAAAGAAAUCCAUGAACUAAAGGAUAUCUUUUUCGAGAACUGUCACUUGAGAGUAAAUCAAGUACUUGUUCAUUGUAUAUCUCAACCAUUUGAACACCAAUUUCAUAUUCUACAGAGCUUUUCCUGCUCUGAGAUAUUUGGAAAAGGUCAUUCAGGGCUCGAUAGUUGACACCCCAUUCCUCUGUUGAUGAUACACUGGGCCCACUCUAAAGGUAACAAAAAAAAAAUGGUAAGACACAAGUAACAUGAUGUGGGGUU
This 44491-nucleotide long non-coding RNA is filed under the name Fragaria vesca (wild strawberry). RNAcentral's name for it is "long non-coding RNA (FVES_LNC002163)". The record is from RNAcentral. Lineage: Eukaryota; Viridiplantae; Streptophyta; Magnoliopsida; Rosales; Rosaceae.